GAAACCCGGUGAUCUAGCCAUGGGCAGGUUGAAGGUUGGGUAACACUAACUGGAGGACCGAACCGACUAAUGUUGAAAAAUUAGCGGAUGACUUGUGGCUGGGGGUGAAAGGCCAAUCAAACCGGGAGAUAGCUGGUUCUCCCCGAAAGCUAUUUAGGUAGCGCCUCGUGAAUUCAUCUCCGGGGGUAGAGCACUGUUUCGGCAAGGGGGUCAUCCCGACUUACCAACCCGAUGCAAACUGCGAAUACCGGAGAAUGUUAUCACGGGAGACACACGGCGGGUGCUAACGUCCGUCGUGAAGAGGGAAACAACCCAGACCGCCAGCUAAGGUCCCAAAGUCAUGGUUAAGUGGGAAACGAUGUGGGAAGGCCCAGACAGCCAGGAUGUUGGCUUAGAAGCAGCCAUCAUUUAAAGAAAGCGUAAUAGCUCACUGGUCGAGUCGGCCUGCGCGGAAGAUGUAACGGGGCUAAACCAUGCACCGAAGCUGCGGCAGCGACACUAUGUGUUGUUGGGUAGGGGAGCGUUCUGUAAGCCUGUGAAGGUGGCCUGUGAGGGUUGCUGGAGGUAUCAGAAGUGCGAAUGCUGACAUAAGUAACGAUAAAGCGGGUGAAAAGCCCGCUCGCCGGAAGACCAAGGGUUCCUGUCCAACGUUAAUCGGGGCAGGGUGAGUCGACCCCUAAGGCGAGGCCGAAAGGCGUAGUCGAUGGGAAACAGGUUAAUAUUCCUGUACUUGGUGUUACUGCGAAGGGGGGACGGAGAAGGCUAUGUUGGCCGGGCGACGGUUGUCCCGGUUUAAGCGUGUAGGCUGGUUUUCCAGGCAAAUCCGGAAAACCAAGGCUGAGGCGUGAUGACGAGGCACUACGGUGCUGAAGCGACAAAUGCCCUGCUUCCAGGAAAAGCCUCUAAGCAUCAGGUAACAUCAAAUCGUACCCCAAACCGACACAGGUGGUCAGGUAGAGAAUACCAAGGCGCUUGAGAGAACUCGGGUGAAGGAACUAGGCAAAAUGGUGCCGUAACUUCGGGAGAAGGCACGCUGAUAUGUAGGUGAAGCGACUUGCUCGUGGAGCUGAAAUCAGUCGAAGAUACCAGCUGGCUGCAACUGUUUAUUAAAAACACAGCACUGUGCAAACACGAAAGUGGACGUAUACGGUGUGACGCCUGCCCGGUGCCGGAAGGUUAAUUGAUGGGGUUAGCGGUAACGCGAAGCUCUUGAUCGAAGCCCCGGUAAACGGCGGCCGUAACUAUAACGGUCCUAAGGUAGCGAAAUUCCUUGUCGGGUAAGUUCCGACCUGCACGAAUGGCGUAAUGAUGGCCAGGCUGUCUCCACCCGAGACUCAGUGAAAUUGAACUCGCUGUGAAGAUGCAGUGUACCCGCGGCAAGACGGAAAGACCCCGUGAACCUUUACUAUAGCUUGACACUGAACAUUGAGCCUUGAUGUGUAGGAUAGGUGGGAGGCUUUGAAGUGUGGACGCCAGUCUGCAUGGAGCCGACCUUGAAAUACCACCCUU
RNAcentral lists this ribosomal RNA (1509 nucleotides) under Escherichia coli. Its description in RNAcentral is "partial 23S ribosomal RNA". It matches the Rfam family "Bacterial large subunit ribosomal RNA", at positions 717 to 2207 of the family's 2925-position model. Lineage: Bacteria; Pseudomonadati; Pseudomonadota; Gammaproteobacteria; Enterobacterales; Enterobacteriaceae. The record is from RNAcentral.